AAGUCGGUGGUUCAGUGGUAGAAUACUCGCCUGCCACGCGGGUGGCCCGGGUUCGAUUCCCGGCCGACGCCUA
This is a non-coding RNA of Ixodes scapularis (black-legged tick), 73 nucleotides long. The record is from the annotation of a RefSeq genome assembly. Lineage: Eukaryota; Metazoa; Arthropoda; Arachnida; Ixodida; Ixodidae.